RNAcentral lists this long non-coding RNA (433 nucleotides) under Rattus norvegicus (Norway rat). RNAcentral's name for it is "long non-coding RNA NONRATT021124". Lineage: Eukaryota; Metazoa; Chordata; Mammalia; Rodentia; Muridae. The record is from RNAcentral.
GUGACACUGAGCGGGCGCAGGGGGCCGAGUCGGAGAUCGAGCUUGAGUUCGGGAGCGGCAGCAGAGGGGGCAUAGACACUCUGAGCAGCCUCGGCGUCUCCUCAGCAUUCCUGACUGUGGCCCGCAGUGCCCGACUCCUGGGUUCUCACUGAAGACGCUGCGCGCUGCUGCUUGGGGAGGGGGUGUGGAGCCGGUUCUGCGACCGCAGUGGCUGUCGUCGGGGGUCGACCGAGCGCUGAGGUGUGGAGAGCCUCGCCCGGGGUCGAGCCGAUAACAGGGUUCGGGUGUCUGGUGUGUGACCAUCACAGGUCUAUUCUGGAUAGCAGGUUUUGUGAAGACAUUUAUUCUUUCUUGGACCUCAGAUUUCCCAGACAUCUCAUGGGUUUGUGGAUGCACUUAGAUGUUUGCAAUGAGCACUGUGGCUGGCAUGCCC